Molecule: long non-coding RNA, 142 nt
Organism: Micropterus salmoides (largemouth bass)
Lineage: Eukaryota; Metazoa; Chordata; Actinopteri; Centrarchiformes; Centrarchidae
Exons: 3
Source: RefSeq, a predicted model, not a curated record
CUGAAACCAGAGCGAUGACCCUUCAAAGAGAACACGUUUUUGACUUGAUCGACAAUGGGCUUCAUUCAACCGAAUAUCAACUUGAAGAUUUGUACUCAGGCGAGGAAAUAGGUUCUACAAGGGAGAAUGGCAUUCCAUCAGC